CCUUCGGGUGAGUGGCGGACGAGCGAGUAACAUGUUGGAACCUGCCCCAAACUCAGGGAUAACAUCUAGAAAUAGAUGCUAAUACCGGAUAGUCCCGCAAGGGUAAAGAUUUAUCGGUUUGGGAGGGGCCUGCAUACUAUCAGCUUGUUGGUAAGGUAAUGGCUUACCAAGGCUAUGACGGUUAACUGGUCUGAGAGGAUGAUCAGUCGCGAUGGGACUGAGACACGGCCCAU
RNAcentral lists this ribosomal RNA (233 nucleotides) under uncultured bacterium. Its description in RNAcentral is "partial 16S ribosomal RNA". It matches the Rfam family "Bacterial small subunit ribosomal RNA", at positions 84 to 334 of the family's 1533-position model. The record is from RNAcentral.